This 1518-nucleotide ribosomal RNA is filed under the name Citrobacter freundii. RNAcentral describes it as "bacterial SSU rRNA". It matches the Rfam family "Bacterial small subunit ribosomal RNA". Lineage: Bacteria; Pseudomonadati; Pseudomonadota; Gammaproteobacteria; Enterobacterales; Enterobacteriaceae. The record is from RNAcentral.
GAGUUUGAUCCUGGGCUCAGAUUGAACGCUGGCGGCAGGCCUAACACAUGCAAGUCGAGCGGUAACACAGGGAGCUUGCUCCUGGGUGACCAGCUGCGGACGGGUGAGUAAUGUCUGGGAAACUGCCUGAUGGUGGGGGAUAACUACUGGAAACGGUAGCUAAUACCGCAUAAUGUCGCAAGACCAAAGAGGGGGACCUUCGGGCCUCUUGCCAUCAGAUGUGCCCAGAUGGGAUUAGCUAGUAGGUGGGGUAACGGCUCACCUAGGCGACGAUCCCUAGCUGGUCUGAGAGGAUGACCAGCCACACUGGAACUGAGACACGGUCCAUACUCCUACGGGAGGCAGCAGUGGGGAAUAUUGCACAAUGGGCGCAAGCCUGAUGCAGCCAUGCCGCGUGUAUGAAGAAGGCCUUCGGGUGUAAAGUACUUUCAGCGGGGAGGAAGGCGUUGAGGUUAAUAACCUCCCCCCAUUGACGUUACCCGCAGAAUAAGCACCGGCUAACUCCGUGCCAGCAGCCGCGGUAAUACGGAGGGUGCAAGCGUUAAUCGGAAUUACUGGGCGUAAAGCGCACGCAGGCGGUCUGUCAAGUCGGAUGUGAAAUCCCCGGGCUCAAUUUGGGAACUGCAUUCGAAACUGGCAGGCUAGAGUCUUGUAGAGGGGGGUAGAAUUCCAGGUGUAGCGGUGAAAUGCGUAGAGAUCUGGAGGAAUACCGGUGGCGAAGGCGGCCCCCUGGAAAAGACUGACGCUCAGGUGCGAAAGCGUGGGGAGCAAACAGGAUUAGAUACCCUGGUAGUCCACGCCGUAAACGAUGUCGACUUGGAGGUUGUGCCCUUGAGGCGUGGCUUCCGGAGCUAACGCGUUAAGUCGACCGCCUGGGGAGUACGGCCGCAAGGUUAAAACUCAAAUGAAUUGACGGGGGCCCGCACAAGCGGUGGAGCAUGUGGUUUAAUUCGAUGCAACGCGAAGAACCUUACCUACUCUUGACAUCCAGAGAACUUUCCAGAUAUGGAUUGGUGCCUUCGGGAACCCCCAGGCAGGUGCUGCAUGGCUGUCGUCAGCUCGUGUUGUGAAAUGUUGGGUUAAGUCCCGCAACGAGCGCAACCCUUAUCCUUUGUUGCCAGCGGUCCGGCCGGGAACUCAAAGGAGACUGCCAGUGAUAAACUGGAGGAAGGUGGGGAUGACGUCAAGUCAUCAUGGCCCUUACGAGUAGGGCUACACACGUGCUACAAUGGCGCAUACAAAGAGAAGCGACCUCGCGAGAGCAAGCGGACCUCAUAAAGUGCGUCGUAGUCCGGAUUGGAGUCUGCAACUCGACUCCAUGAAGUCGGAAUCGCUAGUAAUCGUAGAUCAGAAUGCUACGGUGAAUACGUUCCCGGGCCUUGUACACUCCGCCCUUCACACCAUGGGAGUGGGUUGCAAAAGAAGUAGGUAGCUUAACCUUCGGGAGGGCGCUUACCACUUUGUGAUUCAUGAAGGGGGUGAAGUCGUAACAAGGUAACCAAUCGGAUCCCGGUCAAG